This 260-nucleotide long non-coding RNA is filed under the name Fukomys damarensis (Damara mole-rat). Its description in RNAcentral is "lncRNA (ENSFDAG00000023296.1)". The record is from RNAcentral. Lineage: Eukaryota; Metazoa; Chordata; Mammalia; Rodentia; Bathyergidae.
GGGCGCUGGAGGAGAACCGAGCCGGGGAAGGCAGCCGCUCGCUCCGCUGCUGCCUGGCGGAGCCUAGCACGGGCUGAGUCUCAAACCCCGCGUUGUGUGUGCCCUGCGCUGCCAGGCGCGAAUCCGGUCAGCUGGAAAGACUUCUGGGGACCCGGAGCGGAAGGACAGGUCUAAUUAUACACAUCCUUUGAAAAAAGAGAGAAAAAGGUAAGUAAGGAAUCAGAGAUGAGAGAAAAAUGGAAGAAUGUGAUUAAAUGUAU